This is a long non-coding RNA of Nanorana parkeri, 104 nucleotides long. RefSeq lists it as uncharacterized. The transcript is spliced from 3 exons. The record is from RefSeq and is a predicted model, not a curated record. NCBI's taxonomy places the organism in Eukaryota, Metazoa, Chordata, Amphibia, Anura, Dicroglossidae.
ACUGUAUCCAAUCAUUUUUGCCCCUGUGUGAUCAGAGCCUGAUCUGCAUAUUAAUGUGUCAUUUGACCUUAAAAGAACAUGUAACAAGUGCCAUAUGCAUUUCU